Non-coding RNA from Camelina sativa (false flax), 628 nucleotides. The record is from RefSeq and is a predicted model, not a curated record. Lineage: Eukaryota; Viridiplantae; Streptophyta; Magnoliopsida; Brassicales; Brassicaceae.
ACUUAGUGUUCUUGGUGCAGAAAGGAGGACAUGUUAAGUGUGUGUUCUUCACCGUUGAUAUUUGUUUGCCAUAUCUAUAACCAAAUAUAUGGUUGAAAAAAACUAAAGGGUUGGGUAAUACUUCUUUUUUGGGCUACUCAUUCUGCAUGAGUGAUUAAUCUGAUUCCAUCUCCUACAUCGCUGCAUUCAUUCUGCAUGGGAGAUCGGUUGUUUCUCGCCGCAAUCUCUUUCUCAUGGCUUGAUGAUUCAUGUUUGCAGAUGAAAUUUUAUGUCCCAUAAAUGCUUUUCAAAAUGACUAAAUGAGGAACUCGACAGAAUUGCUACAUUAUAUCUUCUUAGCAGACUUCAACAAUGCAGGGUUCUCCAGGUUAUGAACUGGGGAAAUUUACAAGAAAUAUGUCAAUGGUCGAAUAUGUGGAGCUGUAAGCUGCUAGCAAAAAGACAAGUUUCGUUUUUGUUUUUUUCCAUUAUAUGUUAUAAGUCUCAUUCUCUCAGUUAAAUUAUUUUGGAGAUCAUUAAUGAUUUUAUAUUUUGUGUGAUCCAGUUAUCAAAAUUGAAUUUUGAUCCAUAUUUUGUUGAAAGUGGGAUUCUAUAUGUUUAAUGUUGUUAUAAUGUUUUUGAACUCGAA